AGGGUCAAAGCUCGGAGCGGAACGGAUCACUGCACUACGCACGACGAUUAAUGCGCAACUUGGUUAGACGACCGACCGUUGUUGCGUUCGAUUGAAAUCCAAAUGACAAUUAUCGGGCCACGAUUCCUCGAAGAGAAUUAAUGAUCGAUAAUCAGUAAUCGGUAAUCGAUAAUCGAUAAAGAGUGCGUUUCAUCCUGAUGGUUGUCGACAUAUAAUUUGAAAAUUCCAAAGGAAUUAAAGGAAUUUGGCGGAUAAAAAUUCUCGUGAGUCUGGAAAGGAUCUACUUGGUAAAUUGUACAUAAAUCGUGAAAGGCUCGUGCCGCGGACAAAGAAGAAAGUUAAGAAACUAAGCGAGGCGUGGCGAGGCGAGGGAAAACAACGCCAAGUUCGAAUAAAAGAGCCUCGUAACGGAGGGGCUUCGUACGGCCCUGGCGCGAUUGCGGCACUGCACCCCUACGGGGGGCUCUCUGCCAAACACACCGAAUCCGUCCUCCACCCCGGAACACAAGAACCACGGUUGUUCGGGCGGUCGCGGGGCGAAUGGCAAUGGGAGAAACAGCGGCGGUUCGCGCAGCAACGGGUCCGAUCCGGCGUCGGUGGUGUUGGUGGCGGCGGCGGCGGCGACGGUGGCGGAGGCGGAAACGGAGGCAACCGAGUCGCAGUCGCAGUCGCAGCCACAGGCGUCGCGUGCAGGCGGCACUUCUUCGCAUCGGCACAAUGGGACCGAGAAUUCUCGCGAAACCGAUUUGUUGUCUCACGCGACUUCCGCGCUGCGAAGACUGCACUUUAAAUCCACCGGAGGGAGUCGAAGUAGUCGCAGCGUUCCGAAAGUCGUUGUCAUGGGAUCGAGCACCGCUUCGGAAACCACGAUCAACACCAGCACCGACAGCGCGAACACGAUGCUCACGAUGGUAACGACCACGGACGGAGAACAACCGGACGAUAGUUUCGAUUUGAUAGACAUCCCGGCGGAGAUGUCGCCGCCCACUCCAUUGCCGGCAACCGCA
Molecule: non-coding RNA, 1007 nt
Organism: Nomia melanderi (Alkali bee)
Lineage: Eukaryota; Metazoa; Arthropoda; Insecta; Hymenoptera; Halictidae
Source: RefSeq, a predicted model, not a curated record